AUUGAACGCUGGCGGCAGGCUUAACACAUGCAAGUCGAGCGGAGCGAGGGUGCUUGCACCUUAGCUUAGCGGCGGACGGGUGAGUAAUGCUUAGGAAUCUGCCUAUUAGUGGGGGACAACAUUCCGAAAGGGAUGCUAAUACCGCAUACGCACUACGGGGGAAAGCAGGGGAUCUUCGGACCUCGCGCUAAUAGAUGAGCCUAAGUCGGAUUAGCUAGUUUGUGGGGUAAAGGCCUACCAAGGCGACGAUCUGUAGCGGGUCUGAGAGGAUGAUCCGCCACACUGGGACUGAGACACGGCCCAGACUCCUACGGGAGGCAGCAGUGGGGAAUAUUGGACAAUGGGCGGAAGCCUGAUCCAGCCAUGCCGCGUGUGUGAAGAAGGCCUUUUGGUUGUAAAGCACUUUAAGCGAGGAGGAGGCUACUAGUAUUAAUACUACUGGAUAGUGGACGUUACUCGCAGAAUAAGCACCGGCUAACUCUGUGCCAGCCGCCGCCGUAA
This 501-nucleotide ribosomal RNA is filed under the name uncultured bacterium. RNAcentral describes it as "partial 16S ribosomal RNA". It matches the Rfam family "Bacterial small subunit ribosomal RNA", at positions 30 to 523 of the family's 1533-position model. The record is from RNAcentral.